This 658-nucleotide ribosomal RNA is filed under the name uncultured bacterium. Its description in RNAcentral is "bacterial SSU rRNA". It matches the Rfam family "Bacterial small subunit ribosomal RNA", at positions 209 to 857 of the family's 1533-position model. The record is from RNAcentral.
UUUGCGUCACUGAUGGAUGGACCCGCGGUGCAUUAGCUAGUUGGUGAGGUAACGGCUCACCAAGGCCACGAUGCAUAGCCGACCUGAGAGGGUGAUCGGCCACACUGGGACUGAGACACGGCCCAGACUCCUACGGGAGGCAGCAGUAGGGAAUCUUCGGCAAUGGACGAAAGUCUGACCGAGCAACGCCGCGUGAGUGAAGAAGGUUUUCGGAUCGUAAAACUCUGUUGUUAGAGAAGAACAAGGAUGAGAGUAAAAUGUUCAUCCCUUGACGGUAUCUAACCAGAAAGCCACGGCUAACUACGUGCCAGCAGCCGCGGUAAUACGUAGGUGGCAAGCGUUGUCCGGAUUUAUUGGGCGUAAAGCGAGCGCAGGCGGUUUCUUAAGUCUGGUGUGAAAGCCCCCGGCUCAACCGGGGAGGGUCAUUGGAAACUGGGAGACUUGAGUGCAGAAGAGGAGAGUGGAAUUCCAUGUGUAGCGGUGAAAUGCGUAGAUAUAUGGAGGAACACCAGUGGCGAAGGCGGCUCUCUGGUCUGUAACUGACGCUGAGGCUCGAAAGCGUGGGGAGCGAACAGGAUUAGAUACCCUGGUAGUCCACGCCGUAAACGAUGAGUGCUAAGUGUUGGAGGGUUUCCGCCCUUCAGUGCUGCAGCAAACG